UGGGGAAUUUUGGACAAUGGGGGAAACCCUGAUCCAGCCAUCCCGCGUGUGCGAUGAAGGCCUUCGGGUCGUAAAGCACUUUUGGCAGGAAAGAAACGUCAUGGGUUAAUACCCCGUGAAACUGACGGGACCUGCAGAAUAAGCACCGGCUAACUACGUGCCAGCAGCCGCGGUAAUACGUAGGGUGCAAGCGUUAAUCGGAAUUACUGGGCGUAAAGCGUGCGCAGGCGGUUCGGAAAGAAAGAUGUGAAAUCCCAGAGCUCAACUUUGGAACUGCAUUUUUAACUACCGGGCUAGAGUGUGUCAGAGGGAGGUGGAAUUCCGCGUGUAGCAGUGAAAUGCGUAGAUAUGCGGAGGAACACCGAUGGCGAAGGCAGCCUCCUGGGAUAACACUGACGCUCAUGCACGAAAGCGUGGGGAGCAAACAGG
RNAcentral lists this ribosomal RNA (429 nucleotides) under Acidobacteriota bacterium. Its description in RNAcentral is "Acidobacteria bacterium partial 16S ribosomal RNA". It matches the Rfam family "Bacterial small subunit ribosomal RNA", at positions 355 to 776 of the family's 1533-position model. Lineage: Bacteria; Pseudomonadati; Acidobacteriota. The record is from RNAcentral.